GACGAACGCUGGCGGCGUGCUUAACACAUGCAAGUCGAGCGGUAAGGCCCUUUCGGGGGUACACGAGCGGCGAACGGGUGAGUAACACGUGGGUGACCUGCCCUCAGCUCUGGGGAUAAGCCUGGGAAACUGGGUCUAAUACUGGAUAUGACUCCACGGUGCAUGUCGUGGGGUGGAAAGGCCUUGUGCGGCUGAGGAUGGGCCCGCGGCCUAUCAGCUUGUUGGUGGGGNGAUGGGCCUACCAAGGCGACGACGGGUAGCCGGCCUGAGAGGGC
RNAcentral lists this ribosomal RNA (275 nucleotides) under uncultured bacterium. RNAcentral describes it as "partial 16S ribosomal RNA". It matches the Rfam family "Bacterial small subunit ribosomal RNA", at positions 28 to 301 of the family's 1533-position model. The record is from RNAcentral.